UCAGGAUGAACGCUAGCUACAGGCUUAACACAUGCAAGUCGAGGGGAAACGAUAUUGGAAGCUUGCUUCCGAUAGGCGUCGACCGGCGCACGGGUGAGUAACGCGUAUCCAACCUGCCCACCACUUGGGGAUAACCUUGCGAAAGUAAGACUAAUACCCAAUGAUAUCUCUAGAAGACAUCUGAAAGAGAUUAAAGAUUUAUCGGUGAAGGAUGGGGAUGCGUCUGAUUAGCUUGUUGGUGAGGUAACGGCUCACCAAGGCGACGAUCAGUAGGGGUUCUGAGAGGAAGGUCCCCCACAUUGGAACUGAGACACGGUCCAAACUCCUACGGGAGGCAGCAGUGAGGAAUAUUGGUCAAUGGGCGAGAGCCUGAACCAGCCAAGUAGCGUGCAGGAUGACGGCCCUAUGGGUUGUAAACUGCUUUUAUAAGGGAAUAAAGUUAGUCUCGUGAGACUUUUUGCAUGUACCUUAUGAAUAAGGACCGGCUAAUUCCGUG
RNAcentral lists this ribosomal RNA (496 nucleotides) under uncultured bacterium. Its description in RNAcentral is "bacterial SSU rRNA". It matches the Rfam family "Bacterial small subunit ribosomal RNA", at positions 24 to 507 of the family's 1533-position model. The record is from RNAcentral.